GAUGAACGCUGGCGGCAUGCCUUACACAUGCAAGUCGAACGGUAACGCGGGGCAACCUGGCGACGAGUGGCGAACGGGUGAGUAAUGUAUCGGAACGUGCCCAGUUGUGGGGGAUAACUGCUCGAAAGAGCAGCCAAUACCCCAUCCGCCCUGAGGGUCACAGCGGGGGAUCGCAAGACCUCGCGCAGUGGGAGCGGCAGAUAUCAGCUUAGGUAGUUGGUGGGGUAAAGGCUCACCAAGCCAACGAUCUGUAGCUGGUCUGAGAGGACGACCAGCCACACUGGGACUGAGACACGGCCCAGACUCCUACGGGAGGCAGCAGUGGGGAAUUUUGGACAAUGGGCGCAAGCCUGAUCCAGCCAUGCCGCGUGCGGGAAGAAGGCCUUCGGGUUGUAAACCGCUUUUGUCAGGGAAGAAAAGACUCCUGUUAAUACCGGGGGUUCAUGACGGUACCUGAAGAAUAAGCACCGGCUAACUACGUGCCAGCAGCCGCAGUAA
RNAcentral lists this ribosomal RNA (498 nucleotides) under uncultured bacterium. RNAcentral describes it as "partial 16S ribosomal RNA". It matches the Rfam family "Bacterial small subunit ribosomal RNA", at positions 28 to 523 of the family's 1533-position model. The record is from RNAcentral.